GUGAGGAAUAUUGGUCAAUGGACGAGAGUCUGAACCAGCCAAGUCGCGUGAAGGAAGACGGUUCUAUGAAUUGUAAACUUCUUUUGUGCAGGAAUAAAGUGGGUUACGUGUAACCUUUUGUAUGUACUGUACGAAUAAGGAUCGGCUAACUCCGUGCCAGCAGCCGCGGUAAUACGGAGGAUCCGAGCGUUAUCCGGAUUUAUUGGGGUUAAAGGGUGCGUAGGUGGAUUGAUAAGUCAGCGGUGAAAGUUUGCAGCUUAACUGUAAAAUUGCCGUUGAAACUGUCGGUCUUGAAUGCAAAUGAAGUAGGCGGAAUGUGUUGUGUAGCGGUGAAAUGCUUAGAUAUAACACAGAACUCCGAUUGGGAAGGCAGCUUACUGGGAUGCAACUGACACUGAUGCACGAAAGCGUGGGUAUCAAACAGGAUUAGAUACCCUAGUAGUCC
This 445-nucleotide ribosomal RNA is filed under the name uncultured bacterium. RNAcentral's name for it is "partial 16S ribosomal RNA". It matches the Rfam family "Bacterial small subunit ribosomal RNA", at positions 354 to 796 of the family's 1533-position model. The record is from RNAcentral.